CUAACAUAUGUGCGAGACAAUGGGCGAGUAAACCCAUAAGGUGCAAGGAUGCUGAUUGGUAGGAUUCUCCUGAGGGGUGCACCGCCAACCGACCUUGAUCUUCUAAGAAUGGUUCGAGUGUGAGUAUACCUGUCGGGACCCGAAAAGUGGUGAACUAUGCCUGAGCAGGGCAAAUCUAGAGGAAAUUUGGGUGGAGACCCACAGCGAUACUGACGUGCUAAUUUCUGACCAUCGUACCGGGCGAUGCAUCAUUCAAAUUUUUGCAAUAUCAAAUUUCGAUGGAAAGAUAGUAGCCUACCAUGGUGGUGACGGGUGAUAGAGAAUUAGGUUUUGAUUCUGGAGAGUGAGCCUGAGAAACGGCUUUCACAUCCAAGGAACGCAGCAGGAGCGCAAAUUACCCAAUUCUUACAUGGGGAGAUAGUGACAAUAAAUAAUAAUACCAGGCUCAAUGAGUAAUUUGAAUGAGUACAAUCUAAAUCCCUUAACUAGGAUCCAUUGGAGAGCAAGUCUGGUGCCAGAAGCCGCGGUAAUUCCAUCUCCAAUAGCGUAUAUUUAAGUUGUUGUAGUUGAAAAGCUUAUAGUUGGACUUUGCGAUGGGACGGUCGGUCUGCCUAUGGUGUGCACCGGUCGUCUCAUCCUUUCUGUCGGCGAUGCACUCCUGGCCUUAAAUGGCUGGGUCGUGCCUUCGGCACUAAUACAUUGAAGAAAUUAGAGUGCUCAAAGCAAGAUUAUACUCUGUAUGCAUUAGCAUCGGAUAACAUUAUAGGAUUUUGAUCCUAUUACAUUGGCCUUUGGGAUCGGAGUAAUGACUAACAGAGACAGUCAGGGGCAUUCGUAUUUCAUAGUCUGACGUAAAAUUCUUGGAUUUAUGAAAGACGAACAACUGCGAAAGGAUUUACAAAGGAUGUUUCCCUUAAUCAAGAACAAAAUUUUGGGCCUCAAAGACGAUCAGAUACCAUCGUAGUCUCAACCAUCAAUGAUGUCGGCCAGGGAUCGGUGGAUAUUGCUUUUAGGACUCCGCCAGCAUCUUAUGAGAAAUCAAAGUUUUUAGGUUCCGGGGGGAGUUUGGUCCCAAGUCUAAAACUUAAGGGAAUUUACGGAAGGACACCACCAGGAGUGGAGCCUGUGGCUUAAUGUGACUCAACACGGGGAAACUUACCAGGUCUAGACAUAGUAAGGAUUGAUAGACUGAGAGCUCUUUCUUGAUUCUAUGGGUGGUGGUGCAUGGCCAUUUUUAGUUGGUGGAGCUAUUUUUCUAGUUAAUUCCAUUAACGAAUGAGACCUCAGUUUGCUAACUAGCUAUGCGUAGGUAUCCCUUCGCGGCCAGCUUCUUAGAGGGACUGUGGCCUUUUUGGCCAUGGAAGUUUGAGGCAAUAACCAGUCUGUGAUGCCCUUAGAUAUUCAGGGCCACACGCACGCUACAUUGAUGUAUUCAAAUAGUUUAUAGCCUUGGUAGACAGGCUCGAGUAAUCUUUGAAAUUUCAUCAUGAUGGGGAUAGUUCAUUUCAAUUAUUGGUCUUCAACGAGGAAUUCCUAGUAAGCAAGAGUCAUCAGCUCGGGUUGACUAUGUCCCUGCCCUUUGUACACACCGCCCGUUGCUCCUACCAAUUAAAUAAUCCAGUGAAAUAUUUUGAUCAUAGUGAUGUGGGCGGUUCGUUUCCCACGACAUCGCGAUAAGUCCAUUGAAUCUUAUCAUUUAGAUGAAGGUGAGGUCGUAACAAGGUUUUCAUAGGUGAACCUACGAAAG
This 1747-nucleotide ribosomal RNA is filed under the name Capsicum baccatum. Its description in RNAcentral is "bacterial SSU rRNA". It matches the Rfam family "Eukaryotic small subunit ribosomal RNA". The record is from RNAcentral. Lineage: Eukaryota; Viridiplantae; Streptophyta; Magnoliopsida; Solanales; Solanaceae.